GGCUUUUUGAUUUNAAUUUAAAGUCUGGCCUGCCCACUGAUUAUUUUGAAUGGCUGCGGUAUUUUGACCGUGCUAAGGUAGCAUAAUCAUUAGUUUUUUAAUUGAAGACUGGAAUGAAAGGUUUGAUGAGAAAAUUACUGUCUCUUUAUAAUUUUAUUGAAUUUUAUUUUUUUGUAAAAAAGCUUAAAUGUUUUUGAAAGACGAUAAGACCCUAUAGAGUUUUAUUAAUUUGAAAUUUAUUUGUUUUGGAGAAAUAUUUUGUUUAAGUUUUUAAUUAAUUUGGUUGGGGUGAUUGGAAAAUUAGUUAAACUUUUUUUGUUUUUAACACUAAUUAGUGUUUUUUUGAUCCAUAAUUUGUGAUUAUAAGAUUAAAUUACCUUAGGGAUAACAGCGUAAUUUUUUUUGAGAGUUCUUAUCGAAAAAAAAGAUUGCGACCUCRAUGUUGGAUUAAAAUUAAAUUUUGNUG
RNAcentral lists this ribosomal RNA (466 nucleotides) under Nodonota sp. JGZ-2004. RNAcentral describes it as "partial 16S ribosomal RNA". Lineage: Eukaryota; Metazoa; Arthropoda; Insecta; Coleoptera; Chrysomelidae. The record is from RNAcentral.